AACGAACGCUGGCGGCGUGCCUAACACAUGCAAGUCGAGCGCGAAAAGAGCAAUCUGAGUAGAGCGGCGCACGGGUGCGUAACACGUGGGUAAUCUGCCUCAAGGUCUGGGAUAACCUUCCGAAAGGUUGGCUAAUACCAGUUAAGCUCACGGUGACUUCGGUCGCUGAGAGAAAAGGGGCCCGAAAGGGUCUCGCCAUGAGAUGAGCCCGCGGCCCAUCAGCAGGUUGGCGGGGUAACGGCCCACCAAGGCUACGACGGGUAGCUGGUCUGAGAGGACGAUCAGCCACACUGGAACUGAGACACGGUCCAGACUCCUACGGGAGGCAGCAGUGGGGAAUUUUGCACAAUGGCGAAAGCCUGAUGCAGCAACGCCGCGUGUGUGAUGAAGGUCUUCGGAUCGUAAAGCACUUUCGACC
RNAcentral lists this ribosomal RNA (418 nucleotides) under uncultured bacterium. RNAcentral describes it as "bacterial SSU rRNA". It matches the Rfam family "Bacterial small subunit ribosomal RNA", at positions 29 to 441 of the family's 1533-position model. The record is from RNAcentral.